UCCGCACCAUGAUGUGUUGUUUUUUCUCUACAAUUCUUUUCCAAAAAAAUCCCCGGGAUACUGUGUUAUCCGUUGCAUGUUCUUUGAUAUUAUUGAGACUUAUAGACAUGUGAACUAUUUGGCUAUUGAGUAAUUUUGAUGAGAUUUAUGAGAUGCAUAGAUGGUGGGGAUUGGGAAUUACUAGUAGUUGGUAUUGGUAUCUGUCUAUAAUUGGGUUCAGCAGUGAGAUAUAUUUAGUGUUGAGAUUAUCAGCUGUCAGUACGGUAAUUUUGCUUCUCUCAGUUUCCUCCUCGGUAUUCGGCGCGUAUGGUAUCGGUUCAGGAAUUUAACUCAGAGUCGAUAUGUCCGUGCCGAGUGCUUGGGAUGAGACAGGGUGAGGCUUUGGUUUAGAAUUUUCACUGCACAGCGAGUUGUGUGUUGGUGUUUAGGUGAGUCGUGGGCGACUUGUUUUAAGUAGGGGGAGGAUGUAAACCAGUGGAUUUGACUUUUGCAUUUUGUUGAUCCACCCUGUAUGUGACUAUUCUGUGGCAAUGCGCUGCUGCCACCUAUACUGUUUUGACUGGUUUAGGAACUACAUGUAUUGCACGGUCGCUAUGGUAACGGUCAGUUUAACUUCGUUAAUCAGCUUCCUAAAAUCAUCGGGUUGCUGUAAUAUUUUGAGAAUAUUACUUGAGGAAUUUUAAGUACCUUUUAGGCCUUGAUAUGAAUUUAUUUACGUGUGUAAACGACUGGGCACAUGGUCGUCUGCUAAUUUCUCCAUCUUGGAAGCAAAACAAUUUUCUGAAUCUUGAGAAGAAAACUCUCUUUUUACGCAUAAAUUCACCUUUCCUAAACCUGGUGCCUGACUUGAGGAAGCAUGAAUACCCAUGGAAUGGACUAGACCCCUUUAGAUGAUGUUGUGGCUAGUCGGUAAUACGCAAUCGGGGUGAUUUUGAGACCACCUCUGGCUCUGUACCUGUGACCUUGGCUGGCUUUUGCCCAAACAGGCUGGUAUUCAGCCUCACUGUCCCUGUCCCACUUCUUGUUUGGUAUCUAACUUUGUGUCUGGCAGGACAGGUAAGCCCUAAGUGAUGUCCCGGAGAUUCGUGGCCCGUCGUUUUCACGGUUGGGCCCAGUUGUAGGCCAAGAGUUAGGUUUGAGAGAGUCCUGUACAUUGUGUAGUGCAUCGGCCUGUGCAUUGUGAGGCCUGGCCCUGUUAUGAUUCAGUGUGAACAAUAGUUAUCCCAGGGAAUCCUUGCGUUCUUUUAUUAUCUACCCCAUACCCAGACCCGCUCGUUGUGGUUGGCCCCAUGGGUAUGACGGUCUUAGGACAGCCCCGAACCUGGAGUGUAUAGCAAUUGUGAGUGAGCAAAGCCGGAGUGAACUGUGAGACAGGACCCACCCCGCACGGUGGUCGGAGACUGGGCAAGUGCGGGUUACAUUUGAAAGGAUGAAAUCCAUUCCUUCUUUCCUUUAGAAAGGGGGAUGUAGAGUAUUACAUUUGUACCAUCAGAGUGUUACAUCUGAGACAUAGCAAUACAGAUGUAUAUGUUACAUCGGAUGCUGAAUAAAGUAGUUGUAUGCAGAUAUCACAUCUUGUUGUCUCUGAGACUUUACAAUCCUUGACUUUAUUCCUGCGGGGUGUACUUCACUUGCACAGCCACCGGACGUCAGUGUAAUGAAAUCAUUCAAAAAUCACGCCAAGAAGGCUUGGAAAAAUUGGAAAGUCGAGAAUACAGAUAAGGAGGGUCGGUGUCCGCCUGUCUCACUACUAGACGUUACAAACAUUAUCAGCAAUGCCUGUAGCUGCCGCUGUUUUGCUGGUUCAGGUGUUAUGCCCGAUUGGUACUGCAACUGCUCUCCGGUCACGAAAUCCAGCUUCUUUCACUGAAAGAAGUCCCGUCCUUUGUACGCCUUAAAUAUAGUUCCCUGUUUGACCCCUCGGUUGAGGCCUGUUUUUGACCUGGACCUUCUCCCUGAUGGAUAUGAAUACCAUUUUUCCAAGCCUCCGAUCUUCUCCACUCCUUCGAAUUUCAAUGCUGUGAUACGUACAACAAUUAACGAUGAAGAGACUGCUAAGCAAUGGGUUGAGGAUUUCCAGGAUAAAAGCAAAGUAACUUGGAGUGCUGUUCCUGAUCCCUUCCUUCCAGACUACCCAUGUCAGAUUGAAAUAUACGGCAACCACAACCACCAGGUCCAUUCAGCUGACAGUUUGCGGGAACGAGAUGUGUCCUAAGAAACCAAGAAGAAAUUGCAAGAGCUUUUUAAAAAGAGCCACUCUCCGUCCUCAGCCCUCGAAACAAUCAAGACUGACAUGCAGAUCUCUGAAGGCCAUAACUAUGCAUUUGCUGCAGCUGAUAGGGCUGAUUGUCCUGACUUGGGAUAUUGUUUCAGGGGCGAAUCACAGAAAGCUGCGAAAGGCCUUUCACAUUUGGGAUAGGAAAACUAUGUUCACUGUGCCCUGGAUUACCACAGAUGGCUGCUAGCCCUCAAAAGCACAAGAAGAUAAUGAAGAGCCUGUGCAUGCCGCAUGAUGAUAAUGGACCUAUCAGAUCAACCAAACAUCAAGUUAAAUUGUCAAAUGUGUGCGUGCGUCACUAGAGUUUAAAUACUUGUUCCGGUAGCUUAUCAAGGAAACGAGCACGGAUAUCCCACAUCACAUUAAGUUUUGUCGAAAGACAAGUGUCACAGGCUGCCCGCCACAUGUGGAAAAAUAUUUCCAAUCAUAGUUCAAAAUUACUUAUAUAUCCUUGAGUAGUAUAUACUAUUUGUAACAAACAUAGGCCUACUCUUUUGUUUUAUAAUUAGUCUUUCUAUCUAUCGGAAGCUACACAUAUUUUAUUGCAUUUCUGGUUAACCUUUUGACUUUUACUUAGAAUUUCUGACUUGAUGGCUAUCCUAGUUCCUGUGUAGGUUAAGAGUUCACUUGUCACCAAGGUUAGCAUCUGGUUUUAGGUAGCUUUCUGGACAGAAAGUGCCUCUCCCGGCAAGAUAUUUUCCUUAGAACAGGAACAAAUCAAGAAAGUUUAUGAAAUUUACAUGUAGUUAGUAAUUUGUAAUUUGUAAUGAGUUAUCAAGCAGUGAGACUAGAUUUAUCAAGGAGGCAAGACGUGCCCCUUUUGUUUCCCUGGACAGACGGUCCAGUUUUUUUUAAUCUAAAUAGAUACUUUAUUCGUGACAUGUCACAGAUAAAUACACAGGACAAUUAUAAUGGUGUGAACAUAAGCAAAGAAUGGUGCAAACAAAAAACAACAAAACACACAACAUAAAAACCUAUACCGCACACAGGAGAAAUCAGGUGAGAAAUAAUGAUAUUAUGAUAAACACAA
Lineus longissimus is the source of this 3308-nucleotide long non-coding RNA. RefSeq lists it as uncharacterized. NCBI's taxonomy places the organism in Eukaryota, Metazoa, Nemertea, Pilidiophora, Heteronemertea, Lineidae. The transcript has 4 exons. The record is from RefSeq and is a predicted model, not a curated record.